RNAcentral lists this ribosomal RNA (560 nucleotides) under Psychrobacter sp. NH89-31(1). RNAcentral's name for it is "bacterial SSU rRNA". It matches the Rfam family "Bacterial small subunit ribosomal RNA", at positions 187 to 729 of the family's 1533-position model. Lineage: Bacteria; Pseudomonadati; Pseudomonadota; Gammaproteobacteria; Moraxellales; Moraxellaceae. The record is from RNAcentral.
CAUACGACCUACGGGAGAAAGGGGGCAGUUUACUGCUCUCGCUAUUAGAUGAGCCUAAGUCGGAUUAGCUAGAUGGUGGGGUAAAGGCCUACCAUGGCGACGAUCUGUAGCUGGUCUGAGAGGAUGAUCAGCCACACCGGGACUGAGACACGGCCCGGACUCCUACGGGAGGCAGCAGUGGGGAAUAUUGGACAAUGGGGGAAACCCUGAUCCAGCCAUGCCGCGUGUGUGAAGAAGGCCUUUUGGUUGUAAAGCACUUUAAGCAGUGAAGAAGACCUAACGGUUAAUACCCGUUAGCGAUGACAUUAGCUGCAGAAUAAGCACCGGCUAACUCUGUGCCAGCAGCCGCGGUAAUACAGAGGGUGCAAGCGUUAAUCGGAAUUACUGGGCGUAAAGCGAGCGUAGGUGGCUUGAUAAGUCAGAUGUGAAAUCCCCGGGCUUAACCUGGGAACUGCAUCUGAUACUGUUAAGCUAGAGUAGGUGAGAGGGAAGUAGAAUUCCAGGUGUAGCGGUGAAAUGCGUAGAGAUCUGGAGGAAUACCGAUGGCGAAGGCAGCUUCC